Molecule: ribosomal RNA, 1409 nt
Filed under: Fusarium tibetense
Lineage: Eukaryota; Fungi; Ascomycota; Sordariomycetes; Hypocreales; Nectriaceae
Description: eukaryotic LSU rRNA
Rfam family: Eukaryotic large subunit ribosomal RNA
Source: RNAcentral
ACCCGCUGAACUUAAGCAUAUCAAUAAGCGGAGGAAAAGAAACCAACAGGGAUUGCCCUAGUAACGGCGAGUGAAGCGGCAACAGCUCAAAUUUGAAAUCUGGCUCUCGGGCCCGAGUUGUAAUUUGUAGAGGAUACUUUUGAUGCGGUGCCUUCCGAGUUCCCUGGAACGGGACGCCAUAGAGGGUGAGAGCCCCGUCUGGUUGGAUGCCAAAUCUCUGUAAAGUUCCUUCAACGAGUCGAGUAGUUUGGGAAUGCUGCUCUAAAUGGGAGGUAUAUGUCUUCUAAAGCUAAAUACCGGCCAGAGACCGAUAGCGCACAAGUAGAGUGAUCGAAAGAUGAAAAGCACUUUGAAAAGAGAGUUAAAAAGUACGUGAAAUUGUUGAAAGGGAAGCGUUUAUGACCAGACUUGGGCUUGGUUAAUCAUCUGGGGUUCUCCCCAGUGCACUUUUCCAGUCCAGGCCAGCAUCAGUUUUCCCCGGGGGAUAAAGGCGGCGGGAAUGUGGCUCUCUUCGGGGAGUGUUAUAGCCCACCGUGUAAUACCCUGGGGGGGACUGAGGUUCGCGCAUCUGCAAGGAUGCUGGCGUAAUGGUCAUCAACGACCCGUCUUGAAACACGGACCAAGGAGUCGUCUUCGUAUGCGAGUGUUCGGGUGUCAAACCCCUACGCGUAAUGAAAGUGAACGCAGGUGAGAGCUUCGGCGCAUCAUCGACCGAUCCUGAUGUUCUCGGAUGGAUUUGAGUAAGAGCAUACGGGGCCGGACCCGAAAGAAGGUGAACUAUGCCUGUAUAGGGUGAAGCCAGAGGAAACUCUGGUGGAGGCUCGCAGCGGUUCUGACGUGCAAAUCGAUCGUCAAAUAUGGGCAUGGGGGCGAAAGACUAAUCGAACCUUCUAGUAGCUGGUUUCCGCCGAAGUUUCCCUCAGGAUAGCAGUGUUGAACUCAGUUUUAUGAGGUAAAGCGAAUGAUUAGGGACUCGGGGGCGCUAUUUAGCCUUCAUCCAUUCUCAAACUUUAAAUAUGUAAGAAGCUCUUGUUGCUUAAUUGAACGUGAGCAUUCGAAUGUAUCAACACUAGUGGGCCAUUUUUGGUAAGCAGAACUGGCGAUGCGGGAUGAACCGAACGCGAGGUUAAGGUGCCAGAGUAGACGCUCAUCAGACACCACAAAAGGUGUUAGUACAUCUUGACAGCAGGACGGUGGCCAUGGAAGUCGGAAUCCGCUAAGGACUGUGUAACAACUCACCUGCCGAAUGUACUAGCCCUGAAAAUGGAUGGCGCUCAAGCGUCUCACCCAUACCUCGCCCUCAGGGUAGAAACGAUGCCCUGAGGAGUAGGCGGACGUGGAGGUCAGUGACGAAGCCUAGGGCGUGAGCCCGGGUUGAACGGCCUCUAGUGCAGAUCUUGGUGGUAGUA